RNAcentral lists this ribosomal RNA (1189 nucleotides) under Micrococcus luteus. RNAcentral's name for it is "bacterial SSU rRNA". It matches the Rfam family "Bacterial small subunit ribosomal RNA", at positions 43 to 1247 of the family's 1533-position model. Lineage: Bacteria; Bacillati; Actinomycetota; Actinomycetes; Micrococcales; Micrococcaceae. The record is from RNAcentral.
GGUGCUUAACACAUGCAAGUCGAACGAUGAAGCCCAGCUUGCUGGGUGGAUUAGUGGCGAACGGGUGAGUAACACGUGAGUAACCUGCCCUUAACUCUGGGAUAAGCCUGGGAAACUGGGUCUAAUACCGUAGGAGCGCCUACCGCAUGGUGGGUGUUGGAAAGAUUUAUCGGUUUUGGAUGGACUCGCGGCCUAUCAGCUUGUUGGUGAGGUAAUGGCUCACCAAGGCGACGACGUAGCCGGCCUGAGAGGGUGACCGGCCACACUGGGACUGAGACACGGCCCAGACUCCUACGGGAGGCAGCAGUGGGGAAUAUUGCACAAUGGGCGCAAGCCUGAUGCAGCGACGCCGCGUGAGGGAUGACGGCCUUCGGGUUGUAAACCUCUUUCAGUAGGGAAGAAGCGAAAGUGACGGUACCUGCAGAAGAAGCACCGGCUAACUACGUGCCAGCAGCCGCGGUAAUACGUAGGGUGCGAGCGUUAUCCGGAAUUAUUGGGCGUAAAGAGCUCGUAGGCGGUUUGUCGCGUCUGUCGUGAAAGUCCGGGGCUUAACCCCGGAUCUGCGGUGGGUACGGGCAGACUAGAGUGCAGUAGGGGAGACUGGAAUUCCUGGUGUAGCGGUGGAAUGCGCAGAUAUCAGGAGGAACACCGAUGGCGAAGGCAGGUCUCUGGGCUGUAACUGACGCUGAGGAGCGAAAGCAUGGGGAGCGAACAGGAUUAGAUACCCUGGUAGUCCAUGCCGUAAACGUUGGGCACUAGGUGUGGGGACCAUUCCACGGUUUCCGCGCCGCAGCUAACGCAUUAAGUGCCCCGCCUGGGGAGUACGGCCGCAAGGCUAAAACUCAAAGGAAUUGACGGGGGCCCGCACAAGCGGCGGAGCAUGCGGAUUAAUUCGAUGCAACGCGAAGAACCUUACCAAGGCUUGACAUGUUCUCGAUCGCCGUAGAGAUACGGUUUCCCCUUUGGGGCGGGUUCACAGGUGGUGCAUGGUUGUCGUCAGCUCGUGUCGUGAGAUGUUGGGUUAAGUCCCGCAACGAGCGCAACCCUCGUUCCAUGUUGCCAGCACGUAAUGGUGGGGACUCAUGGGAGACUGCCGGGGUCAACUCGGAGGAAGGUGAGGACGACGUCAAAUCAUCAUGCCCCUUAUGUCUUGGGCUUCACGCAUGCUACAAUGGCCGGUACAAUGGGU